ACAACAGAGAACACUCACUCCAUGUUCAGCAUGAAGGAGAACUGCAUGAUCCAGGGAGGUUUAGGGGACCAAGAAGGUGGAUAGGCUCUAACUGGGGCAGGCAGCAGGUGCGGCUGCAGAAAAGCGAAGGACUCCGAGCCCCGUGGUGCCUGCCUAAGAGUGAGCCAAACUCAGAAAGCCUGAGGCCCUUCUAGAUGAAAGGUGACUGAUGCAAAGCUUGAUCCCAGAUUGGAUCUGGGUUAUGGGAAGACAGCUCACCAGGGACUAUUUAAGGGCAAUUGGCGAAAUGUAGACAUGGAAGAUGGACCAGACAACAGCAUGAGAUGAAUGUUAAAUUUCCUGAUUUUGAUCCUUGUUCUGUGGCUAUGUAAGAGAAUGUCCUUACUUUUAGAAAAUACACAUGGGGCAUUUUUGGGAAGUUUUUAAGGGCAUGGUGUCUGUAACUUACUCUCAAGCAGUUCAGGAAAAUAAUAUAUAAAUUAGAUAUGAAGAGAAGUGAGGGGAGGAGAAUAACACAAAUGGGGGCAAAAUAUUAACAUUGGUGCAUCUGGAUAAGAUGAUCUUUGGACAGAGUUCUUUGAACUAUUCUUGAAACAUCUGCAUAAAAUUUGAAGUUAUAUCAAAUUUGAAACUUACAAAGAAAAGGCUUAGGGUUGGAUUCUGCUUGGGCUGGAACAUAAACUCAAGGUUCCGGGGCCCUGUGGUGGCUUGUGCACACUGCAGUCUAUCUGCAGGCUCACUUUGGCGUAGGACGGCACCUGGACCCACUGGAUUCCGGCUCCCAUGCUCCCCUCUGGAAGUACAAGUCCUGGGCCAGGCGCAUGUGAACCUCCAUGGUGAAUGCAGCAGCUUCCUCUGCAGAUUCCUAGCGAGGUAGUGGCUGGAUGCCGCGAGAGACAGAUGAACCUCCUGUUUGUCCUCAAGGCGGGUAGUUUCCGUGUAGGAUCUCGCUUGUCCUUACAGGUGCCAUCUGAUCCUUGCUCACAUCCUCAGCUGGCGUUCCUUCCUGACUGCUGGAGUGGCUGACCUGAAGAGACUUCCCACUCAACACUGCAGGCAGAGGGGACAGCCCGGAGAGACUUGCCCGCCAGCUCUCACUUUGCAUAUAAUCUCACUCCUAAAUAAAUCCCUCAGCUCAGGGGUCCCCAAACUUUCUCUGCGUGUGGUGCCCUUAAUUUCUCAGUACUCUCUUCUUAGUGCACCUGGGCCAAAAGAAAUACCAAACAGUUCCAUUAAUUAAGUGGUUAGAUCCAAAUGACGUAGGUAUGUUUGUAAUAGCUGUUUGAAAAGAAAAUAUACAUACAUUGAAAGAAAAAAUAAUAUUUGAUUUUCCUCUUAAAUAAGCAGUGCCGAUGGGAUAUGUGCCUGUUGGACAAGGCCCAACUUCUCCAACCUUGGAAUCAAGUUGGACACUGUUGCCCUCAUUUUCUGUCCCACACCAUUUUACCUCAAAGCAAUCAUUGAAAACCCAGCUUUGGAAAGAUAUGACAACUGUGAAAGGAAUAUACUGCAAUCUGAUGUUCGAACUGUGAACUUCCUCAAUCGAGUAGUUCCCAAGGUGUCCAAGAAGGGUCAGCUAUCAAUGUAUAUCCUCUGAAAACUGGAAAUAUUCCAUGGCACCCCUGUGAACUCACUGUGGCCCCUACAGUUUGAGAACCAUAGCCUUGUCUCAUAUUGCUUCUGAUACACAGAGUGCCAUGCUGAUUUGGGUGUAUUCUUUUCCUGUCUUUGUACUCUCCACAUAUAUUAUAAAAUGUGGACCAGAAGAAUUCUAUAUUUCCCUUUUUUUAAUUUGACAAUGUUAUGAGUGUAUUCCCAUGUCAAUAAAAAUUCUUUUAAAAAUUAUUUAUAUCUGAAUCAUAUACCAAAUUUACCAAUAUCGAAUUUAAUCUUCCUCCAGUCCUUGAAUUUUCCAGCUGUAUUUCAUUUUGCUAUUAUCUGUCAAUAUUCCUUAAAAUGGAUUUCUAGAAGCAGUAUUACCAAAUGAACUUCUUAAACAAUCUUGAUAACUAUUGUUAAAUUGCUUUUCAGAAAUAAUGCACUAAUUUAUAUUCCAAUAAAAAAUACAUGGCAGUGGCUAUUUUGCCACAUUCUUAACUGCACUGGGUAUUUCCAUUAAUAAAAUAAAAUCUCCUCA
Molecule: long non-coding RNA, 2137 nt
Filed under: Homo sapiens (human)
Lineage: Eukaryota; Metazoa; Chordata; Mammalia; Primates; Hominidae
Description: HSALNT0311623
Source: RNAcentral